UGCGGAGGAUCAUUGUCGAAACCUGCAAAAGCAGACCGUGAACAUGUCAAACAACACAGGAUCGAGGCGCGGGGGAAACCUUGCGCCCAGUCCCCUUCUCGUGCGCGUUCGUUUGAUUUCAGGCGAGCGUGCUGCGAGCUAACGAACCCCGGCCCGGCAUGCGCCAAGGAUUACUAAUACGAGCGUCUGUCUGCCUUCGUCGCCCCGUACUCGGUGCGCGACGUGGUUAGUCACGUCUCUCCAAAGUCAUAACGACUCUCGGCAACGGAUAUCUCGGCUCUCGCAUCGAUGAAGAACGUAGCGAAAUGCGAUACUUGGUGUGAAUUGCAGAAUCCCGUGAACCAUCGAGUCUUUGAACGCAAGUUGCGCCCGAAACCUUUCGGUUGAGGGCACGUCUGCCUGGGCGUCACGCAUCGCGUCGCCCCCUGCCUCUGUCCCAUCCGCGGCGAUGGAGUGUUCGGGGCGGAUGUUGGCCCCCCGUGUGCGCAAGUGCGUGGUCGGCCUAAAUGAGAACCCGCGGCGACUCGCGUCACGACCAGUGGUGGUUGAAAACUAUCAACUUUCUUGCUAUCGUGUCGAUCGAAGUUGCGCGCCGAGCGAAGCAUCGAACCCUAAGGCUCGUUUAAAACAGAGCUUUCKACCGCGACCCCAGGUCAGACGGGGAUUACCCGCUGAGUUUAAGCAUAUCAAU
RNAcentral lists this ribosomal RNA (691 nucleotides) under Euphrasia sevanensis. RNAcentral's name for it is "eukaryotic LSU rRNA". The stretch from base 254 to 409 matches the Rfam family "5.8S ribosomal RNA". Lineage: Eukaryota; Viridiplantae; Streptophyta; Magnoliopsida; Lamiales; Orobanchaceae. The record is from RNAcentral.